Molecule: small nuclear RNA, 137 nt
Filed under: Octodon degus (degu)
Lineage: Eukaryota; Metazoa; Chordata; Mammalia; Rodentia; Octodontidae
Description: U4 spliceosomal RNA (ENSODEG00000025775.1)
Rfam family: U4 spliceosomal RNA
About the family: U4 small nuclear RNA (U4 snRNA) is a component of the major U2-dependent spliceosome.
Source: Rfam by way of RNAcentral
GGUGGUGAACUGUGUCCGUAUCUAGCCAGUGAGGUUUAUCUGAGGUUAGAGUUUUGCUAAUUGAAAAUUUUUCCAAUCCCCACCAUCAUGACUUGAAAUAUAGUUGGCAUUGGCAAUAUUUGAUAGUCUCUACGAGG